GAUGAACGCUGGCGGCGUGCUUAACACAUGCAAGUCGAACGGAAAGGCCCAACCUUGCUUGGGUACUCGAGUGGCGAACGGGUGAGUAACCCAUGGGUGAUCUGCCCUGCACUUCGGGAUAAGCCUGGGAAACUGGGUCUAAUACCGGCUAGGACCACUUCUUGGAUGGUGUGGUGGAAAGUUUUUGCGGUGUGGGAUGAGCUCGCGGCCUAUCCGCUUGUCGGGGGGGUAAUGGGCUACCAAGGCGUCGACGGGUAGCGGGCCUGAGAGGGUGUACGGCCGCCUUGGGACUGAGAGGCGGCCCAGGCGGCGAAGGGAGGAAGCAGUGGGGAAGAUUGAACAAGGGGUGCAAGGCGGAUGAAGAGACGCUGCGUGUGGGAAGACGGCCUUAGGGUUGAAAACUCGCUUCGCGAGGGACGAAGCGUUUUGUGACGGUACCUGGAGAAGAAGCACCGGCUAACUACGUG
RNAcentral lists this ribosomal RNA (467 nucleotides) under uncultured bacterium. Its description in RNAcentral is "partial 16S ribosomal RNA". It matches the Rfam family "Bacterial small subunit ribosomal RNA", at positions 28 to 507 of the family's 1533-position model. The record is from RNAcentral.